AUUUUUACUGUUUUUUGAUCAAAUAAAUGCAGGCUCUGUGAGCGGAAGAGACUUCUUUCAAACAAAUUAUUACACCAUUACAGUUUUUCUCAACUGCUAAAACACUAAACCCUAUUGUCUGAACCAAAUGCUCAGUUGCCUGAACCCACUGAUUAAAUCAAUCACUCUUUUGGCACUGUACCAAUAUACUGUAGUAUUGUAAUGGAGGGUUGGUCUAACUGUUUGUAGGCCUAGUAUUCCAUGUAUAUUUUUUGUAACUCCAUGUUCUCUUUUUGUAGAAUUGAAAGACUGCCACAUGGAGGUGGGAGGACAGGUAUGUUCUCCCCACACCAAGAGACCCUAAUUGCUGAUAUGGUCCGUGAGAACAAUGCCAUUAAACUGAAUGAAAUUCAGCAGAAGAUCAUUGAGGACCAUGUCAAUUUUGAGGGUAUCAACAGUGUCAGCCUCUCUACUGUUGAUCGUGUCCUCAAGCGCAACAGACUGUGCAUGAAACAGCUAUACAGAGUGCCCUUUGAUCGCAACUCAGACAGAGUCAAAGAGCAAAGAUUCCAGUAUGUACAGAGGGUUUUUCAACUGGAUGCAAUGGAAAGACCCCAUGAAUACAUCUACAUGCAUGAAGCUGGGUUUAAUCUCACCAAAAGGAGAAGGAGAGGCCGUAAUGUGAUUGGCCAUUGGGCCAUUGUUGGUGUUCCUGGGCAGCGUGGUGGCAAUGUCACAUUAUGUGCUGCCAUCAGCAAUCAUGGGGUUGUCCACCAUCAUGCCAACCUGGGGCCCUACAACACUCACCAGCUCCUCAUUUUCCUCAAUCACAUGCAAGAUGCUCUGUUAGGGCAGCAGGAUGAGCAUCCCAUCUACAGUAUGUUGUUGUUUGGGACAAUGUGAGUUUUCACAGAGCCCUCCAGGUUAGAGAGUUUUAUCAAUCUUUGCCUUCCACCCUACUCCCCUUUCCUAAACCCCAUUGAGGAAUUCUUCUCCUCAUGGCGGUGGAAGGUAUAUGGACACCAACCUUACACCAGGGUAAAUCUCCUGCAAGCCAUGGGACUUGCCUGUGGUGACAUAGGUGUGGAGGCAUGCCAAGCCUGGAUACGGCAUGCCAGGGGUUUUUUCCCCCGUUGCCUGGCCAGACAAAAUGUGGCCUGUGAUGUAGAUGAAGUCCUGUGGCCUGACCCAGUAUGGAGACAUGAUGCUGUGGCUGAGUAAUGCACUUAUUUGUAUAUUUUUGUACUUUAUUUUUACAUGGGCUUACUGUACACAAGUGGCAAACGCAUAAGAUUUCUGUUUUGUCUUUUUGUACAAGUGCUAAAUGCACAGGUUUUUUAUGUUUUGCAACAUGCAUUUAGCCUACAGUGAACAAUAAACAUUUAUUUCUCCAGUUUCAUGUCCUGAGCAUUGUGUUUCUAUUUUUCUACGUAGUGUUUAGUGACUGUUCAGUAGUGAGGAGAGGAGAGGAGACGAGAUGAGACGAGACGAGAGGAGACGAGAGAGGAAGACGAGAGAGGAAGACGAGAGGAGAGGAGAUGAGAGGAAAUGAGAGGAGACGAGAGGAGACGAGAGGAGAGGAGAUGAGAGGAGAGGAGAGGAGACCUCUGAAAUGCAGAGAGUGUACAUUAUUCAUAGGGAUCCGAACGAUAGCAGAUAGCGGCAGUGAUUUAGUGGCUUUGAUUUCUGUCACUGCAGGCUGUAAAGCACAGCAUACACAUACAGAGGUGAUGACCAUGUUUAAAGUCAAUGUAAGUCAAUGCAAACCGAUGAACGAAAAUCCAAGUUCUGCAGCAGACAGGACGGGGCAUGUUGUCACACGGGCUGGUUUGGUCUGUUGAUUUCAAACAACUGGUGAAAAAACAUGCCCCAGUCUCUGUCAUCCUCAGCAGCACAGGCUGUCUAUCUAUCUAUCUAUCUAUCUAUCUAUCUAUCUAUCUAUCUAUCUAUCUAUCUAUCUAUCUAUCUAUCUAUCUAUCUAUCUAUCUAUCUAUCUAUCUAUCUUUGUUUGUAUUAAUGUGUGUAGUUUUCUGGUCUACAGUCACACCACCAGAGUUUUAUUUAUUUAUUUAUUGCUAUUUUAAUUUAAUGUAUUAUAGUUUACAAUAUUUUUGCAGCUCACUGACUCGAACAAAUCUAAAAAAAAUGGUUAAUGUGGUGUCUAGCACCAGCUAGUGGAACAUUCUAAAACUGACACCCCCCCCCCCCCAACACACACACACACACACACACACACACACACACACACACACACACACACACACACUACAGUCUCUCUGCAUUAGUGAGUUCAUUUACACUAAAGGUCAGUGUUUUUCACUGGAUCUUUGUGCUUGUCUGCUCACAGGACGUGUGUCGCUCUCACAGACCGGUUUGAUUCACAUCUACCCUAUGAAUCACACUAAAUCAACUGCAGAUUUAGGGAGUAAAAAGUUUCAAAACUUACCAUGCACAGUCCUCUGGUGUUUUGGUAAAUGCACUCAACAAACUAGUAUAUGAUUUAACCUUGAUCUUUGAUCUCUAAAUGCAUGAACAGUCAGCACCGUUGGAAUGUGUUCUUUGUGAAUUCAUUUUCUACAGGUCUGUUAAAGUCACACUCGCACACAGGCUCCUGACGCUUUGUCUGAUCUGAGGCUCAGAUCAACUCUUUAUUCGUGUCAUCAGUGAGACUCACGCACAUGCUAUUGUGCUUCAUUUGCUUUAAAGCACUGCUAAACGCUGACCUAGAAACACAACAAGCACUUUUGAAUAGGCUUUGUGAAGAAUGCAUACAGGAGCAAUCAAUCAUGUACACCUACUUAAUGUUAAAGCUGCAAACUGAAAUUUAAUCUGAAUUGAAAUAUAAUCCUUAUGGCUAAAUAUAUAUAUGUACUUAACUAACAUAUAUCAUUAUCAAACCUCAAUGUGUUAAUGGUUAAAGAAAAUGAAAAAAAAUCUGUCUUUUAUCACCCCCAGUGUCACCUGUUGUCAUGGGUGUGAGAGCCGGCUACAGUGCCCACCGCAGGGGAGAGCUGCGGAGUGUGUAAGUGCGGAGUGAAUCAUAGCUUCAUAGCUUCCGCUUCA
Cyprinus carpio carpio is the source of this 3042-nucleotide long non-coding RNA. The record is from Ensembl. Lineage: Eukaryota; Metazoa; Chordata; Actinopteri; Cypriniformes; Cyprinidae.